Molecule: non-coding RNA, 181 nt
Filed under: Pseudomonadota bacterium
Lineage: Bacteria; Pseudomonadati; Pseudomonadota
Also listed under: 1 other name
Description: 6S RNA
Rfam family: 6S / SsrS RNA
About the family: E. coli 6S RNA was the first non coding RNA to be sequenced, but its function was unknown until recently. It consists of 184 nucleotides that fold into an extended hairpin structure with a large single-stranded internal bulge. The 6S RNA specifically associates with RNA polymerase holoenzyme containing the sigma70 specificity factor.
Source: RNAcentral
CAUCCCCUGCAGUGUUCGAUCCGGCCUUACGUUCUUUGAACCAAUGCUCUCGUAGCGAGGUUGCCAAGCCAAUGCGGACCGGUGUGCGCCCCCACGCGGAAGCGCCUGAUGGUCCCGGCAGGCGGCCGAUCUUGAACCCAGGUUCAGGAUGACCGGCCGGAACGGCACAGGCGGGGGACCU